RNAcentral lists this ribosomal RNA (510 nucleotides) under uncultured bacterium. RNAcentral's name for it is "bacterial SSU rRNA". It matches the Rfam family "Bacterial small subunit ribosomal RNA", at positions 416 to 918 of the family's 1533-position model. The record is from RNAcentral.
CUUCGGGUUGUAAAGCUCUUUCAGCCGGGAAGAAAACGCAUGGGUUAAUACCCUGUGUGGAUGACGGUACCGGAAUAAGAAGCACCGGCUAACUACGUGCCAGCAGCCGCGGUAAUACGUAGGGUGCGAGCGUUAAUCGGAAUUACUGGGCGUAAAGCGUGCGCAGGCGGUUUGUUAAGAUAGGCGUGAAAUCCCCGGGCUCAACCUGGGAACUGCGUUUAUGACUGGCAGGCUAGAGUAUGGCAGAGGGGGUGGAAUUCCACGUGUAGCAGUGAAAUGCGUAGAGAUGUGGAGGAACACCGAUGGCGAAGGCAGCCCCCUGGGCCAAUACUGACGCUCAUGCACGAAAGCGUGGGUAGCAAACAGGAUUAGAUACCCUGGUAGUCCACGCCCUAAACGAUGUCAACUAGGUGUUGGGAGGGUAAAACCUUUUAGUACCGGAGCUAACGCGUGAAGUUGACCGCCUGGGGAGUACGGCCGCAAGGUUAAAACUCAAAGGAAUUGACGGGG